This 78-nucleotide transfer RNA is filed under the name Desulfobacteraceae bacterium. RNAcentral's name for it is "tRNA-Arg". It matches the Rfam family "tRNA". From Rfam's summary of the family: Transfer RNA (tRNA) molecules are approximately 80 nucleotides in length. Their secondary structure includes four short double-helical elements and three loops (D, anti-codon, and T loops). The record is from RNAcentral. Lineage: Bacteria; Pseudomonadati; Thermodesulfobacteriota; Desulfobacteria; Desulfobacterales; Desulfobacteraceae.
GGAGGCGAGACUCAGCAGUUUGGACAGUGAAAGUUUGCGGUGCUGGGGUCGUGGGUUCGACUCCCACCGCCUCCUCCA